Molecule: ribosomal RNA, 926 nt
Filed under: uncultured Bacteroidota bacterium
Lineage: Bacteria; Pseudomonadati; Bacteroidota
Description: bacterial SSU rRNA
Rfam family: Bacterial small subunit ribosomal RNA
Source: RNAcentral
UGGAUCCAGACUUUGAUCAUGGCUCAGGAUGAACGCUAGCUACAGGCUUAACGCAUGCAAGUCGAGGGGAAACGACAUCGAAAGCUUGCUUUUGAUGGGCGUCGACCGGCGCACGGGUGAGUAACGCGUAUCCAACCUGCCCACCACUUGGGGAUAACCUUGCGAAAGUAAGACUAAUACCCAAUGACGUCUCUAGAAGACAUCUGAAAGAGAUUAAAGAUUUAUCGGUGAUGGAUGGGGAUGCGUCUGAUUAGCUUGUUGGCGGGGUAACGGCCCACCAAGGCAACGAUCAGUAGGGGUUCUGAGAGGAAGGUCCCCCACGUUGGAACUGAGACACGGUCCAAACUCCUACGGGAGGCAGCAGUGAGGAAUAUUGGUCAAUGGACGAGAGUCUGAACCAGCCAAGUAGCGUGCAGGAUGACGGCCCUAUGGGUUGUAAACUGCUCUUAUAAGGGAAUAAAGUGAGUCUCGUGAGACUUUUUGCAUGUACCUUAUGAAUAAGGACCGGCUAAUUCCGUGCCAGCAGCCGCGGUAAUACGGAAGGUCCGGGCGUUAUCCGGAUUUAUUGGGUUUAAAGGGAGCGUAGGCCGGAGAUUAAGCGUGUUGUGAAAUGUAGACGCUCAACGUCUGCACUGCAGCGCGAACUGGUUUCCUUGAGUACGCACAAAGUGGGCGGAAUUCGUGGUGUAGCGGUGAAAUGCUUAGAUAUCACGAAGAACUCCGAUUGCGAAGGCAGCUCACUGGAGCGCAACUGACGCUGAAGCUCGAAAGUGCGGGUAUCGAACAGGAUUAGAUACCCUGGUAGUCCGCACGGUAAACGAUGGAUGCCCGCUGUUGGUCUGAAUAGGUCAGCGGCCAAGCGAAAGCAUUAAGCAUCCCACCUGGGGAGUACGCCGGCAACGGUGCAACUCAAAUGAAUUGACGGA